UUCUUAAAUAAAUGGGAACAAGUUUACAAUGUGCCCCAAUGAUUAGAUAUUGUUUUCCUAUUUAAUUCACUGAAAAAUAUCAUUUGGGUAUAAGAAAUGUAAAUAGCUAUCAAGAAUCAGGUCAAGCUUUUCUAAAAAAAUUAUAGAUUAAAAUUCUGCUUUUGUGGAAACAUAUUAAAGAAUAUAUUAAAUAAGUAGGAACAAAAGCUCCCUAGCACACUAACAUAAUCAAAUUUGAGUAUUAUUAUCAAGUUGGCUUUAGCCAGAUCCUAGCAGGUAGCUAGUUUAUACAAGUUACUCCAAAAAUGAAAAAGAAAUAUGCAUAUCCUGACUUUGUAAGAAGCUGCCUGUUAGAAUCUAACUAGCCUUUUUUUCUCUUUUAAGACAUUUUGGAUCCAAGGACCAAUAGGUUGACUCAUUCACUAGUGGAGAGUAUCAAAGAAAGAAAAAUUUAAAAACUAAACAACAGAUUUGACAAGCUGCCUGCCAUCUGAAAGUGAGAAAGAAUGUGAUAUUAAUUGAGCAUCUUCUGAGCAAGCUAUAUGCUGUACAUAUGCUUUUCUUCAAAACAUCCCUUCAAGAAAAUGAUACAUCUAUUUCAGAAUGUGACAGAAAAACACCAAUAGGCAGGAAAGAGGGGGCGGAAGGAAUUCACCGUACUCUCCAGUACCCCAGUUGCUGGCUGGUUAAUGAAGCAUUCUUCUCAUCAAGCUGC
RNAcentral lists this long non-coding RNA (715 nucleotides) under Homo sapiens (human). RNAcentral describes it as "HSALNT0361657". The record is from RNAcentral. Lineage: Eukaryota; Metazoa; Chordata; Mammalia; Primates; Hominidae.